This 593-nucleotide ribosomal RNA is filed under the name uncultured soil bacterium. RNAcentral's name for it is "bacterial SSU rRNA". It matches the Rfam family "Bacterial small subunit ribosomal RNA", at positions 35 to 673 of the family's 1533-position model. The record is from RNAcentral.
GCUGGCGGCAUGCCUAACACAUGCAAGUCGAACGAAGGCUUCGGCCUUAGUGGCGCACGGGUGCGUAACGCGUGGGAAUCUGCCCUUAGGUACGGAAUAACUCAGGGAAACUUGAGCUAAUACCGUAUAAUGACUCCGGUCCAAAGAUUUAUCGCCUGAGGAUGAGCCCGCGUCGGAUUAGCUAGUUGGUGAGGUAAAAGCUCACCAAGGCGACGAUCCGUAGCUGGUCUGAGAGGAUGAUCAGCCACACUGGGACUGAGACACGGCCCAGACUCCUACGGGAGGCAGCAGUGGGGAAUAUUGGACAAUGGGCGAAAGCCUGAUCCAGCAAUGCCGCGUGAGUGAUGAAGGCCUUAGGGUUGUAAAGCUCUUUUACCCGGGAUGAUAAUGACAGUACCGGGAGAAUAAGCCCCGGCUAACUCCGUGCCAGCAGCCGCGGUAAUACGGAGGGGGCUAGCGUUGUUCGGAAUUACUGGGCGUAAAGCGCACGUAGGCGGCUUUGUAAGUUAGAGGUGAAAGCCCGGGGCUCAACUCCGGAAUUGCCUUUAAGACUGCAUCGCUAGAAUUGUGGAGAGGUAAGGUGGAAUUCCGAG